GUCACCUGUAAUCAUCGACACGUUUGUUAAUUACGCGUUAAACAAGUUGCGUCAACAAACGAUUGUCAGAAAAUUGGAACCGAUACUUAAAUUCGCAAAAAACAGUAACGUUGAACCUGAUAAAAAAACAAGAGAAAAAAAUUGAUGUUAGCUAUAUUGAAAUAAAAAACGAUACAUUUCAAGAUAGAACUGAAGUAUAGAUAAAUUUUCUUGUUUGUUACAAACAUCUGAAAAAGGAGAAGAAACAUAAUGGUGUAUCCGGUUAUAAAAUAAAUUCCAUCGUUCUAUAUAUCACAGGUAAAAUUUAAUAUAAAAAAUUUGCAAGAAGUCAGUCAUUACUCACUUGAGGAAUCUCGAUAAAUCACAGAAAGAAUUAACGAGCAGCGAAGACGACACCGGAUCCUUCCUCAUCCCUUCCUUCCCCUUCGUCAGUGAAAUAUAGCUGACAACUUUUCUCAUACUUGAGAGUUUUCCUUGAGAAGCAUACUCCAUUGUGGAGUAAAGGGUGGAGGCAAGGGAAAGUUAUGAAGUGGUUGGGGACGAGCGCUAUAACAUAACACCACAAGAAGGGAAAUUAUACGGUGUUGAUACCGGGAAAGGAUCGUAACCAUUACCUUUAAAUGUUUCUUUUUAUGAUACACGAAUAAAGAUUGAUUUAAAUAAUUAAUCGUACAAUCUUGGCAUGUAUUUUAAUUUAUGAAUAAACUCAUGAUUUUUCCAUUUCUAAUAAACCUAAGUAGAAAAAUAAGAUACUGUGGAUGUAUGUAAUAAUGGAUGAAUCAUUAUCUUGUAAAACAAAAAAUAAUGCAUAAAAAACUAUGGUAUCUCGCACUUAUUUAUGAAGCGUGAUUAACCAACAGGCAUA
This is an RNA transcript of Osmia bicornis bicornis, 865 nucleotides long. RefSeq lists it as uncharacterized. The record is from RefSeq and is a predicted model, not a curated record. Lineage: Eukaryota; Metazoa; Arthropoda; Insecta; Hymenoptera; Megachilidae. The transcript has 2 exons.